Molecule: ribosomal RNA, 301 nt
Filed under: uncultured bacterium
Lineage: Bacteria
Description: bacterial SSU rRNA
Rfam family: Bacterial small subunit ribosomal RNA
Source: RNAcentral
GAAUGCCUACGGGGGGCAGCAGUGGGGGAUAUUGCACAAUGGGGGGAACCCUGAUGCAGCGACGCCGCGUGGGCGAUGGAGUGCUUCGGCAUGUAAAGCCCUAUCAGCAGGGAAGAAAAUGACGGUACCUGACUAAGAAGCCCCGGCUAAAUACGUGCCAGCAGCCGCGGUAAUACGUAUGGGGCAAGCGUUAUCCGGAAUUACUGGGUGUAAAGGGUGCGUAGGCGGCACGCCAAGUCAGUUGUGAAACCCGUAGGCUCAACCUACGGCUUGCAAUUGAAACUGGCGAGCUAGAGGACAG